This 67-nucleotide transfer RNA is filed under the name Marmota monax (woodchuck). RNAcentral describes it as "tRNA.Ala". Lineage: Eukaryota; Metazoa; Chordata; Mammalia; Rodentia; Sciuridae. The record is from RNAcentral.
GGCUGUAGCUCAGUGGCAAAGCAUUUGCCUAGCAUGCCUGAGGCACUGGGUUCAAUCCUCAGCACCA